CACAGUGACUGCCCUGGCUUUCUUUGCUUUGCCUCCUGUCUGUGUUUGAAAUCCCGAAAUCACCGCCUUGAGCUCUGAAGCCCAGCGGCUCCGAGGCUGCAAGCCUCUCCGCUGGCCCCAGAUGUGCAGCAUGCAGCUUGAAUCUCUGAGGACUCUGGUGGUGGAUGCCAACUCCAACUCACAGUGGGAAUCUGGCCCACAGGACCCAGCCUGCCACCCUCCAGGGAGCCGUGGAGAUUUCAGGAUUUCUCCUCUGCGAAAUGGGGAUAACAGCUCCCUCUUCAUCCGGUUAUGGUCAGGGCUGACCUAAGGGGGCUGAGGGUGAAGGCCACAGGCUGAGAAGCUCUUGCCAGUGGUCAGUGAGGAGCAGCAAAUUCGGGUCUUGGCACUUGAACUGUGGGAGGAUCAAUGCUGCUUGAAGCCAUCGGUUUCUGGGAAUUUGUCACAGCAGCCCAGGAAACACAUGCAGAAGGUUUGGAGAUUGGUCUUUCCGAUGACUAGGGUGCUUUGUGCCCAUUUCAACACUCUCUGCCCUCAGUGGCACAUUCAGACCACGUUGACUUGGGCAAUGGUGAGGGAAAUGCAAAGGAGUCACCCUCUUUGGUUUCUGAAAUGCGGACACACGUUACAAUGGAAACGAGCACUUGGGGCUCCCUGUCUCGGAAAAGUUGUUGAAUCAAUGCACGUUGAUUGCUUCAGCAAUCUAGGAAAUACUAUCCCAACAAAGCAAUUUGAAAUUCCAAACCUGUGACCACUGGACAAGAUCACCUUUCUCCCACUGAGAAGAAGAUCAGCGUUGGCUCGGGCCAAGUCUGGGAGACAGACAAGGCCUCCUUUCAACAUCGUGCCUCCAGGGGAACCAGGCCAAGUAUCGGCCCUCCAGAGACAGCUGCAGCCCUUGGAGGCCUCCCCACUGAGUCCACACCCCUGGCCCAGGGCACUCAGGCUAGCUGACCGGCCCUGCUCCCUGGCCAGCCUCAUUUCCUCCUGUUCUCUUGCUUGGUGCCCCUAGCAGCCGUCUUGCACCUGGCCACUGCUUCCCACGCCAGGGCCUUUGCCUUUGCUGUUCCCCUGCCUGGCAUGGUCUCGUCAUUCAGGGCUCAGCCUGAAUGUCACCUCCUCCUGGAAGCCUUACCCUCAUCUCGUUAUGUCCUACCCCAUCACCCUAUUUCUUUCCCUUGGGUCACCAGUAAGAACCUGGGUUGAGCUUGUGCAGCCGUCUCAUUGUCUUAGCCUCACGAAACUGUAAACCCUUUGACAAAAGGGAUCUGUCUGGUUUGUUUGACGUGUAACCCCAGCUUCCAGCCUAGCACAGAGAAAGCUCCAUGGAGACACUGACUGUCAGAUGACUGCAGACCUCCCCACAAGGAGGAGGGAAGCUGGCCUCCAAGGAGGCGCAUCCCACAGUGCAGUGGUCUCUGGCCAGGGUGGGUCAUUACGCCAUUGGUUUAUAGCGCCAUUUGCUUCGGCCCCUUUUGGUGGCAUCCCAGGGUUUAAAGUGACCAGGCAGCUAGUGUGGGGAGACGGGACACAGCUGUCUGAGGUCAGGGGGUCUGUAUGUGCCUCUCCGGCAGGGAACAGCCUCGGCCGUCAGAAGCCAGGUUUCAGCAUUUAGGAUGCAGCCAACAGCCAAAUUGCUUUCUUGGUUUUAUAUAUAAGGGCUUUUUUUGGUACCAUAAGGGCGGGUGGACAGGGCUGCCUUUGCUUCCUGGAGGGUCUGGUUCCUUUCGGGGAAGGUCUCAGUUGGCCACUGGAGUAACAGCACUGCGUCGGCCCAUGUGGCCAGCCAGCAUCCCUGUGCUCAUGGCUAAGGACAGGCUGUUACUCUGUUCUGCGGGUCUUGAAGUCAUUUGGUCAAGUGGACUUCAGAAGGAGAGAGAGAGAAGGACAGACAGCAUCCAUGGAGACUGCCACAGAGAAUGGAAAGAGAAUGGGAUCUGCAGUCUGAUGGGCUGGCAUAUCUCAGCAGCAGCAACAACAACACAAUAAUAUGGAAUUCAGUCCAGGCACGGUGGUUCCCGCCUGUAAU
RNAcentral lists this long non-coding RNA (2029 nucleotides) under Homo sapiens (human). RNAcentral describes it as "HSALNT0402041". The record is from RNAcentral. Lineage: Eukaryota; Metazoa; Chordata; Mammalia; Primates; Hominidae.